Long non-coding RNA from Dioscorea cayenensis subsp. rotundata (Guinea yam), 689 nucleotides. RefSeq lists it as uncharacterized. Lineage: Eukaryota; Viridiplantae; Streptophyta; Magnoliopsida; Dioscoreales; Dioscoreaceae. The record is from RefSeq and is a predicted model, not a curated record. The transcript is spliced from 4 exons.
AUCCCUGAAUAGAAACUUAAUCAAUCACACUGAAAUGAAAAUGUGUUAUUGAUAAAUCAGGAUGAGUUCUACUCAAAGCGGCUGAAACAAGAAAUUGAGUUAGUCUUCCAACAUCCACAGGAACAAGAGAUACAACCAUGGCAUCCCAUCCCAACUCCGGCACCUGAAUGAGUUUAUCAACAAUCAGAAAUUGCACAUAUUCGGGUUCUUCUGGCAAUUUCUCCUCCUAGUGAUGUUGUAGAGAAGGGAAGUUCUCAGAGAAGGGAAUCUCCUCAAAGGAAAACUUCUUUUGAAGUUGCAGAGACAAGUGAUGUUGUUAUUACAAUGCUGCCUUCAGCUUCUAAUGUUUGGAUGUGUACACAGGACCUAAUGUGCUAUUACUGGAUAGAAGUGUGAGGCCAUGGCUUUUUAUAGACUCUUCAACCACUGAUCCGCAAACUUCAAGAAAGCUUUGGAAAUUCACUUCAAGAACAGAAAGGUGUUGUUCAAUGUUGCAUAGCUUAUGAUUAGUUUGUUGAUGAUGAUUAGGUUUGGAAAUCCACCAUAAGAAUGGUUAAUUGAUCUUUUUUAUUGAUUUUGUUGUAUGUUUCAACCAAGUGAUGAUACAUUACAGUAAAAGUUUUUCAGUUAUGUUAUGAAUGUGAAGUAAUGUAUUAUCCAACAUUGACAAAAUCAAUCAACUCUUCUUA